AGCCAGACUCCUACGGGAGGCAGCAGUGGGGAAUAUUGCACAAUGGGGGAAACCCUGAUGCAGCGACGCCGCGUGAGCGAUGAAGUAUUUCGGUAUGUAAAGCUCUAUCAGCAGGGAAGAAGGUGACGGUACCUGACUAAGAAGCCCCGGCUAACUACGUGCCAGCAGCCGCGGUAAUACGUAGGGGGCAAGAGUUAUCCGGAUUUACUGGGUGUAAAGGGAGCGUAGACGGCGAUGCAAGCCAGAUGUGAAAGCCCGGGGCUCAACCCCGGGACUGCAUUUGGAACUGUGUGGCUGGAGUGUCGGAGAGGCAGGCGGAAUUCCUAGUGUAGCGGUGAAAUGCGUAGAUAUUAGGAGGAACACCAGUGGCGAAGGCGGCCUGCUGGACGACAACUGACGGUGAGGCGCGAAAGCGUGGGGAGCAAACAGGAUUAGAUACCCCAGUAUG
RNAcentral lists this ribosomal RNA (448 nucleotides) under uncultured bacterium. RNAcentral describes it as "bacterial SSU rRNA". It matches the Rfam family "Bacterial small subunit ribosomal RNA", at positions 329 to 793 of the family's 1533-position model. The record is from RNAcentral.